Molecule: ribosomal RNA, 398 nt
Filed under: uncultured bacterium
Lineage: Bacteria
Description: partial 16S ribosomal RNA
Rfam family: Bacterial small subunit ribosomal RNA
Source: RNAcentral
AUACGUAGGGUGCGAGCGUUGUCCGGAAUUACUGGGCGUAAAGAGCUCGUAGGUGGUUUGUCGCGUCGUCUGUGAAAUUCCGGGGCUUAACUCCGGGCGUGCAGGCGAUACGGGCAUAACUUGAGUACUGUAGGGGAGACUGGAAUUCCUGGUGUAGCGGUGAAAUGCGCGGAUAUCAGGAGGAACACCGGUGGCGAAGGGGGGUCUCUGGGCAGUAACGGACGCUGAGGAGCGAAAGCAUGGGUAGCGAACAGGAUUAGAUACCCUGGUAGUCCAUGCCGUAAACGGUGGGCGCUAGGUGUAGGGGUCUUCCACGACUUCUGUGCCGUAGCUAACGCAUUAAGCGCCCCGCCUGGGGAGUACGGCCGCAAGGCUAAAACUCAAAUGAAUUGACGGGG